CAAACUCCUGGGCUUGAGCAAUCCUUCUGUCUCAGCCUCCCAAGUGUAGCUGGGACUACAGGCACACGCCACCAUGCCCAGCUAAUUUUUUUUUUUAAUGUAGAGAUAAGAGUCUCACUAUGUUGCCCAGGUUGAUCUCAAACUCCUGGUCUCAAGAGAUCCUCCCACCUCAGCCUCCCAGAGUCAGAACCCAGAUCUUGGAGCUCUUCUUUUCUUCAUCUAUACCACUGCUUCCUUGAUAAGAGAUCAAGACAUAUACAAAUUAGUCUUUGAAAGAUCUUUCACCUUGUUCAAAGUUAAGAUCCUGUGAACACCAGAAUUGUUCCGCGGCCUCUUCACUAUUGAUUGCAACAGUAUCAUUUACCUGAAGCUACACAGUGACCACAAAAACCAUGUCCAGGACACCAAAUUUCUACUGCGAACUCUAGGGUGAGACACUAAAUCCAGAAGCUGACGACGGCCCAGGAACCAGGACUGCUUUCAGGAGGCGCUCAGAAGGGCAGCAAAGUACCCUCUCAACAUUAGUAAAAUGAAACAAAAGUGUCAGCCUUGGCUUCGCACACACUUACCCGUUCAUGGGGCAUGCUGGAGGCAGACGUUCUCUAUCAGGCAAGAGUUCUCAGUCAGAAUUAAGGUCUGCCAGGCAGAGGGCCACGUCUGGUUUACUUCUGUUUUCUCACUGUUGCUGGUCUUCCCCGAUUCCUGCCUCCCUCUCCAUGUUCUGGGAUGAGACUUUGACUGGUUUCUCAAGGGGCUAACUUUUGGUUCUCUUCUGGGCGUUUCUGCCCAGAGUCCCCUGGUUUGGACAGCAGCGAUCGUCUGUAGGACACACACAGUGAAUCCAGCCACCGGAUGAGGAAUUCUGCUAAUUGUUUAAGCCUGCACUAGUGUCUGGCCACCAGUUGGCAGACACAACUCAUGGCUGCCUACCAGGCCUAGGUUAACACAGCUGGAGCCAGAUGACAGGCUCUCAAAGAUAUUCC
RNAcentral lists this long non-coding RNA (983 nucleotides) under Pan troglodytes (chimpanzee). RNAcentral describes it as "long non-coding RNA NONPTRT011452". Lineage: Eukaryota; Metazoa; Chordata; Mammalia; Primates; Hominidae. The record is from RNAcentral.